ACAAGAAAAGCCAUAUACAUCUGAUUAAUACACUAUGAAUAAAAUCGCGGUUUUCUUUGUAGCUAUCAUCAUCUUGGAAAUAUCUUUGGUCACACAAGGAAUGCCAUAUCCAUCAGGUGAUAAAGAGCCGCAAAAUAGUGCAUCUGAAGAGACAGGUAAU
This is a long non-coding RNA of Adelges cooleyi (spruce gall adelgid), 160 nucleotides long. RefSeq lists it as uncharacterized. The transcript is spliced from 4 exons. The record is from RefSeq and is a predicted model, not a curated record. Lineage: Eukaryota; Metazoa; Arthropoda; Insecta; Hemiptera; Adelgidae.